AACGUAGGAGACAAGCGUUAUCCGGAUUUACUGGGCGUAAAGCGCGUGCAGGCGGUCUGGUAAGUUGGAUGUGAAAGCUCCCGGCUCAACUGGGAGAGGUCGUUCAAAACUGCCAGACUAGAGGACGGUAGAGGGAGGGGGAAUUCCGGGUGUAGUGGUGAAAUGCGUAGAUAUCCGGAGGAACACCAGUGGCGAAAGCGGCCUCCUGGACCGUCCCUGACGCUCAGACGCGAAAGCUAGGGGACCAAACGGG
RNAcentral lists this ribosomal RNA (253 nucleotides) under uncultured bacterium. RNAcentral describes it as "partial 16S ribosomal RNA". It matches the Rfam family "Bacterial small subunit ribosomal RNA", at positions 524 to 776 of the family's 1533-position model. The record is from RNAcentral.